UACAGAGGGUGCGAGCGUUGUCCGGAAUCACUGGGCGUAAAGGGCGCGUAGGUGGCGCGACAAGUCAGUGGUGAAAGCUCGACGCUCAACGUCGAGUCGGCCACUGAGACUGUUGGGCUUGAGCACUGUAGAGGCUAAUGGAAUUCCGGGUGUAGCGGUGGAAUGCGUAGAGAUCCGGAAGAACACCGGUGGCGAAGGCGGUUAGCUGGGCAGU
RNAcentral lists this ribosomal RNA (214 nucleotides) under uncultured bacterium. RNAcentral's name for it is "partial 16S ribosomal RNA". It matches the Rfam family "Bacterial small subunit ribosomal RNA", at positions 524 to 737 of the family's 1533-position model. The record is from RNAcentral.